AUUCCAUGGUGGGGGCAGUUCCUUAAUAACUCCUUAAAGCGCUUUAAAGCAUCAUACAAAGACUCUCUGUUAUUCUGAUGAAAAUUAUUAAUUUUACCGCUCAACUU
Molecule: small nucleolar RNA, 107 nt
Organism: Humulus lupulus (European hop)
Lineage: Eukaryota; Viridiplantae; Streptophyta; Magnoliopsida; Rosales; Cannabaceae
Source: RefSeq, a predicted model, not a curated record